CCAGCAGCCGCGGUAAUUCCAGCUCCAAGAGCGUAUAUUAAAGUUGUUGCAGUUAAAAAGCUCGUAGUUGGAUUUCUGGUACAAUGCGCCUGGCCCGCAGCAGUAAUGCUUGUGAGUGCCGGUGCGCGUUGGCCAUCCUUCUAGAAAACGUUUCUACCAUUAACUUGGCUGGACUCGCGAUCUAGAUCUUUUACUUUGAAAAAAUUAGAGUGUUCAAGGCAGGCUUUUGCUGUGAAUACAUUAGCAUGGAAUAAUAAUCUAGGACUUCGGUUCUAUUUUGUUGGUUUCUAGAAUUGAAGUAAUGAUUGAUAGGGAUAGUUGGGGGUGCUAGUAUUGGCCGGCCAGAGGUGAAAUUCUUGGAUUCGGUCAAGACUAACUUAUGCGAAAGCAUUCACCAAGGAUGUCUUCUUUAAUCAAGAACGAAAGU
RNAcentral lists this ribosomal RNA (427 nucleotides) under uncultured eukaryote. RNAcentral describes it as "SSU rRNA". It matches the Rfam family "Eukaryotic small subunit ribosomal RNA", at positions 567 to 990 of the family's 1831-position model. The record is from RNAcentral.